UGGGGAAUCUUGCACAAUGGGGGAAACCCUGAUGCAGCGACGCCGCGUGAGCGAUGAAGCCCUUCGGGGNGUAAAAGCUCUUUCGACAGGAACGAUUAUGACGGUACCUGGAGAAGAAGCUGCGGCUAACUACGUGCCAGCAGCCGCGGUAAUACGUAGGCAGCAAGCGUUGUUCGGAGUUACUGGGCGUAAAGAGUGUGUAGGCGGUUCUCCAAGUCUGGUGUGAAAUCUCCCGGCUUAACCGGGAGGGUGCGCCGGAAACUGGAGGGCUUGAGUGUGGGAGAGGAAAGCGGAAUUCCUGGUGUAGCGGUGAAAGCGCGUAGAUAUCAGGAGGAACACCGGUGGUGUAGACGGCUUUCUGGACCAUUACUGACGCUGAGACGCGAAAGCGUGGGGGAGCAAACAGGAUUAGAUACCCUGGUAGUCCACGCCCUAAACGAUGCAUACUUGGUGUGAGCCGUUCAUUCGGUUCGUGCCGGAGCUAACGCGUUAAGUAUGCCGCCCUGGGGAGUACGGUCGCAAGGCUGAAACUCAAAUGAAUUGACGGGGUCAUAGCUG
Molecule: ribosomal RNA, 558 nt
Filed under: uncultured bacterium
Lineage: Bacteria
Description: partial 16S ribosomal RNA
Rfam family: Bacterial small subunit ribosomal RNA
Source: RNAcentral